AGCCGAAACGCCCUUGGGGGCGUCUGCUGCACGCUGGCCGGGCGGCACUGAUGAGGCAGGCCAUU
This 65-nucleotide non-coding RNA is filed under the name Phycisphaerales bacterium. Lineage: Bacteria; Pseudomonadati; Planctomycetota; Phycisphaerae; Phycisphaerales. The record is from RNAcentral.